This is a non-coding RNA of Ricinus communis (castor bean), 121 nucleotides long. Lineage: Eukaryota; Viridiplantae; Streptophyta; Magnoliopsida; Malpighiales; Euphorbiaceae. The record is from Rfam.
UUUGAGGGGAAUGUUGUCUGGCUCGAGGUCACUAAUUAGAUCUAUGAUUUUAUUUUUGCUUUUAAGAUAGAUCGUUGAUCGUAUUGUUAGUGACGUCGGACCAGGCUUCAUUCCCCCCAAU